UUCAGACACAAACAUGCUGUUGAAUACUAGUAGAAAGAGGAGGAAGGGAAGCGCUACUAAGUUACAUCAUGGCCACUGGCAGUUUGUACAUGCCAGAGUCAGCAGAGUACAGGACUCUGGGCAUUGACGAUUACAGCUUUUACAGUAGCUUGUUGGAUGAGGAGCUGCUACAGCUGGCUGUGGAGAGGAGCUUGGCUGAUGCCCAGAGAACUGGGGGCCUUAUGAGAUCCUCCACAUCAGCUGUAUCUGGCAGGACCCCCAACCCAUCUGGGCAUUCCCUAACAAUGUACCCCCUUUUGCCAACCCCGGCACUCCUAAUUCACACAGGUGAGCCUGCAUGAAUUUUCAACUGCAGGCUGAAUUGAAAAUGGAUUAAAAGAACUUUGACAUCUCACCCAUCUACUGUACAGUCGCGGCCAAAGGUUUUGAGAAUGACACAAAUAUUAAUUUCCACAAAGUUUGCAGCUUCAGUGUCUUUAGAUAUUUUUGUCAGAUGUUACUGUGAAAUACUGAAGUAUAAUUACAAGCAUUUCAUAAGUGUCAAAGGCUUUUAUUGACAAUUACAUGAAGUUGAUGCAAAGAUUUAUUUUUCAAGACCGCCCUGGCAUGCUGUCAAUUAACUUCAGGCCCACAUCCUGACUGAUGGCAGCCCAUUCUUGCAUAAUCAAUGCUUGGAGUUUGCCAGAAUUUGUUUGUCCACCCGCCUCUUGAGGAUUGACCACAAUUUCUCAAUGGGAUUAAGGUCUGGGGAGUUUCCUGGCCAUGGACCCAAAAUAUCGAUGUUUUGUUCCCCGGGCCACUUAGUUACCACUUUUGCCUUAUGGCAAGGUGCUCCAUCAUGCUGGAAAAUGCAUUGUUCGUCACCAAACUGUUCCUGGAUGGUUGGCAGAAGUUGCUCUCGGAAGAUGUGUUGGUACCAUUCUUUAUUCAUGGCUGUGUUCUUAGGCAAAAUUGUGAGUGAGCCCACUCCCUUGGCUGAGAAGCAACCCCACACAUGAAUGGUCUCAGGAUGCUUUACUGUUGGCAUGACACAGGACUGAUGGUAGCGCUCACCUUGUCUUCUCCGGACAAGCUUUUUUCCGGAUGCCACAAACAAUCGGAAAGGGGAUUCAUCAGAGAAAAUGACUUUACCCCAGUCCUCAGCAGUCCAAUCCCUGUACCUUUUGCAGAAUAUCAGUCUGUCCCUGAUGUUUUUCCUGGAGAGAAGUGGCUUCUUUGCUGCCCUUCUUGACACCAGGCCAUCCUCCAAAAGUCUUUGCCUCACUGUGCGUGCACAUGCACUCACACCUGCCUGCUGCCAUUUCAAACAACAGAAAUCUCAUACUUAAAAUUCCUCAAACAUACAUGUGUCAUAUCAUUUUAAAGGUAAUCUUGUUGUUAAUCCCACCAAAGUGUCCGAUUUUAAAUAUGCUUUUCAGCGAAAGCACUACAAACGAUUAUGUUAGGUCACCACCAAACCACAAUAAGCACAGCCAUUUUUCCAGCGAAAUAUAGUAGUCACAAAAAGCAGAAAUAGAGAUAAAAUGAAUCACUAACCUUUGAUUAUCUUCAUCAGAUGACACUCAUAGGACUUCAUGUUACACAAUACAUGCCUGUUUUGUUUGAUAAAGUUCAUAUUUAUAUAAAAAAAUCUGAGUUUACAUUGGCGCGUUACAUUCACUAGUUCCAAAAACAUCAAGUGAUUUGCAUAGCCACAUCGUUUCAACAGAAAUACUCAUCAUAAAUGGAGAUGAUAAUACAAGUUAUACACAUGGAAUUAUAGAUAUACCUCUCCUUAAUGCAACCGCUGUGUCAGAUUUCAAAAAAACUUUACGGAAAAAGCAACCCAUGCAAUAAUCUGAGACGUCGCUCAGAAAUAUAAUAAAAUUAGCUGCCAUUUUGGAGUCAACAGAAACCAGAAAAUACAUGAUAAAUGUUUCCUUACCUUUGAUGAACUUCAUCAGAAUGGAGUCCUAGGAAUCUCAGGCCCACAAUAAAUGCUUGAUUUGUUCAAUAAUGUCCGUUAUUUAUGUCCAAUUAGCUACUUUGGUUAGCGCGUUUGGUAAACAAUUCCAAAGUCACAAAGCGCGCCUGUGGUACAGAGAUGAAGUAGUCAUUCAAAAAUCAUGUUAAACACUAGUAUUGCACAGAGUGAGUCCAUGCAACUUACUAUGUGACUUAUUAAGCACAUUUCUACUCCUUAAGUUAUUUAGGCUUGUCAUAGCAAAGGGGUUGAAUAUUUAAGACAUUUCAGCUUUUCAUAUUUUAUUAAUUUGUAAAAAUUUCGAAAAACAUCAUUCCACUUUGACAUUAUGGGGUAUUAUGUGUAGGCCAGUGACAAAAACAUUCAAUUUAAUACAUUUUGAAUUCAGGCUGUAACAGAACAAAAUUCGGAAAAAGUCAAGGGGUUUGAAUACUUUCUGAAGGCACUGUAAAUAACAUGUCAUAAAGGCCAUUCGUUUUCACACCCACCUUUUGCUUCUGACGGCAACUACUGCUGGAUAAAACAGUCAACAUCUGAAAGAUCAUGUGUUGAAAUGGUAACACUGUUAUGAACUAAUUACAUUGAGUUGAUAAUAUGUUUGCCGUUAAAGUGCAGUGGACAUAGCCAAAUCAAGACCUGUCAUCAGAUAACUAAAAUUGAGUACAGUGCACAAAACAAUAUUUAAGUUUGGACAUUUGAUUGUAUUUACAGGGUCAAGCAGUUGCAAGGAAAACAUAAAAUUACUUUUUAAUAGUUUUAUCCUCUUCCUUUCCUUUAACAAUUUUUAUGUGAGAUGAUCUCCAGUCCCUUUAGAGUCGAUUGAUGCAUCUGUGCGUCAAUCUAAUUAACAUUUUCCAUCAAAAUCCGUUUGUUUAAACUAGAUAUACAUCCGCUUAUUGUUUGUCAUACUUCUGCAUCUGUGGUGGGAAGUGGCAGAGCUACAGCGCUGUAUGUCAGACCCCGGUGACACAGCCAGGGGUCCUAAAAUGUUCAAUCAAAUCACUAAAUGAUCCAUGGCAUGACCAUCUUAAAACAAUUCCAUAUGUUAGCUUAGAAGGUAGAACC
Molecule: long non-coding RNA, 3028 nt
Organism: Salvelinus fontinalis (brook trout)
Lineage: Eukaryota; Metazoa; Chordata; Actinopteri; Salmoniformes; Salmonidae
Exons: 3
Source: RefSeq, a predicted model, not a curated record